Molecule: long non-coding RNA, 264 nt
Filed under: Elaeis guineensis (African oil palm)
Lineage: Eukaryota; Viridiplantae; Streptophyta; Magnoliopsida; Arecales; Arecaceae
Description: long non-coding RNA (EGUI_LNC047226)
Source: RNAcentral
CCCUGAGGAAGGAAUCAACACCGACAAAGGCUAUGCAGCCCCUUCACUCCGUCAUGCUGGGGAAGACUACCCCCCGGUCUUCUGCAUCCUCAUCGCAGCAAAGUUCGGGCACCCCCCAAAUUUUGGUGUGUAUGUCUUCUCGUCCGGCCGACCUACCGGCUAAGGCAUCCCCUCUAGUGGAAGCUCUAUUGGAUGCCGAGGCCUCGGACACCAGGAAGGCCAUCGGCGACUAUCGAAUUGCUCAAUCUCUGCUUAGGUCAGCCA